This 880-nucleotide ribosomal RNA is filed under the name uncultured bacterium. Its description in RNAcentral is "bacterial SSU rRNA". It matches the Rfam family "Bacterial small subunit ribosomal RNA", at positions 8 to 886 of the family's 1533-position model. The record is from RNAcentral.
AGAGUUUGAUCAUUCCUCAGGAUGAACGCUAGCGGCAGGCUUAAUACAUGCAAGUCGAGGGGCAACGCAGUGUAGCAAUACAUGGGCGGCGACCGGCUUACCCCUGCGGAACACGUACACAACCUUCCUAUAAGUGGGGGAUAGCCCAGAGAAAUUUGGAUUAAUACCCCGUAAGAUAACGAUGUGGCAUCAUAUUGUUAUUAAAGCUACGGCGCUUAUUGAUGGGUGUGCGGCUGAUUAGAUAGUUGGCGGGGUAAUGGCCCACCAAGUCUACGAUCAGUAGCUGAUGUGAGAGCAUGAUCAGCCACACGGGCACUGAGACACGGGCCCGACUCCUACGGGAGGCAGCAGUAAGGAAUAUUGGUCAAUGGACGCAAGUCUGAACCAGCCAUGCCGCGUGAAGGAUUAAGGUCCUCUGGAUUGUAAACUUCUUUUAUAUGGGACGAAAAAAGGGUAAUCUUAUCCGUCUGACGGUUCUUUAUGAAUAAGCACCGGCUAACUCCGUGCCAGCAGCCGCGGUAAUACGGAGGGUGCAAGCGUUAUCCGGAUUCACUGGGUUUAAAGGGUGCGUAGGCGGGCAGGUAAGUCAGUGGUGAAAUCCUAGAGCUUAACUCUAGAACUGCCAUUGAUACUAUCUGUCUUGAAUAUUGUGGAGGUAAGCGGAAUAUGUCAUGUAGCGGUGAAAUGCUUAGAUAUGACAUAGAACACCUAUUGCGAAGGCAGCUUACUACGCAUAUAUUGACGCUGAGGCACGAAAGCGUGGGGAUCAACAGGAUUAGAUACCCUGGUAGUCCACGCCUAAACGAUGGAUACUCGACAUACGCGAUACACAGUGUGUGUCUGAGCGAAAGCAUUAAGUAUCCCACCUGGGAAGUACGUC